Molecule: ribosomal RNA, 901 nt
Filed under: uncultured archaeon
Lineage: Archaea
Description: bacterial SSU rRNA
Rfam family: Archaeal small subunit ribosomal RNA
Source: RNAcentral
GCCCUUCGGUUGAUCCUGCCGGACCCGACUGCUAUUUGGGUGAGAAUAAGCCAUGCGAGUUGAAUGGGAUACCUAAAGUUCCCAUAGCAAACUGCUCAGUAACACAUGAUCAACUUACCCUAUAGAGAAAAAUAACCUCGGGAAACUGAGGAUAAUGUUUCAUAAUUGAAUUGGCUUGGAAAAGUUUUUCAAUGAAAAGGAUAAAAAAAAUGGUUUUUAUCUGCUAUAGGAUAGGAUCGUGUUCGAUUAUGGUUGUUGGUGAGAUAAUGGCUCACCAAGCCGAUAAUCGAUAGGGGCCGUGAGAGCGGAAGCCCCGAGAUGGGUACUGAGACAACGACCCAGGCCUUACGAGGCGCAGCAGGCGCGGAACCUCCGCAAUACACGAAAGUGUGACGGGGUUACCCAAAGUGUUCAAUAGAACUGUGGUAGGUGAGUAAUGUCCCCUACUAGAAAGGAGAGGGCAAGGCUGGUGCCAGCCGCCGCGGUAAAACCAGCUCUUCAAGUGGUCGGGAUAAUUAUUGGGCUUAAAGUGUCCGUAGCCGGUUUAGUAAGUUCCUGGUAAAAUCGGGUAGCUUAACUAUCUGCAUGCUAGGAAUACUGCUAUACUAGAGGGCGGGAGAGGUCUGAGGUACUACAGGGGGUAGGGGGUGAAAUCUUAUAAUCCUUGUAGGACCACCAGUGGCGAAAGCGUCAGACUGGAACGCGCCUGACGGUGAGGGACGAAAGCCAGAGGAGCGAACCGGAUUAGAUACCCGGGUAGUCCUGGCCGUAAACGAUGCAUACUAGGUGAUGGUACGGCCAUGAGCCGUAUCAGUGCCGUAGGGAAACCGUUAAGUGUGCCGCCUGGGAAGUACGGUCGCAAGGCUAAAACUUAAAGGAAUUGGCGGGGGAGCACAAGGGC